Molecule: long non-coding RNA, 961 nt
Organism: Mytilus californianus (California mussel)
Lineage: Eukaryota; Metazoa; Mollusca; Bivalvia; Mytilida; Mytilidae
Exons: 2
Source: RefSeq, a predicted model, not a curated record
GGGGGGGGGGGGUGUAAUUACCCGCUAUGGGUCAACUUUCCAUAUGUCACCAGUACUUGAGGCUUUUGUUGUUUAAAUCCAAAUCAUUGUCUCUGAUAUUUCAAAGAAAUUGACAUAGUAUAUUUUGUCUAUUUGUCUCUAUUCUGUAUAAUUUGUCUAUUUUUCUCUAUUCUGUAUAAUUUGUCUAUUUUUCUCUAUUCUGUAUAUUUUGGCCAAUUUUCUGUAGUCUUGGCUCAUUGUUCUUGGUGUUGUAAACCCCUUGUAGACCCUCAAGUUCUCAACAAUGACUAAUUGUAUUCGACAAUCUUUUAAUCUCAUGAAGUCUAAAAAAAGGUUAUGAAUAAUUUAUAAAUAGGACUUUGAAAGAUUGCUCUCGUCAUCACAUUCCAUAAAGGACAAUUAAUGUAUAGACAAAUUGAAUGUUAUCAUCCGGUAUACAUGUAUAUCGAGAAAGGUCGUGAAAAAAUAAGUAACGUCGGUCAAGUAUUGGAAUGGGAUCGUGAAGGCAAUCUUAUCAGGAAGACACAUGCAAGAUGCUACAUCGGACGAUCACUGAAUACAUCAUUUUCCCUGGGUCACUUGCAGUUGCCAAUGACUUAAAUAUUUAGUUUAUUUUUAUAUUCGUCAGGAAUUAGUUUAGAAAAAAAAAAAAUUGAAAGAUCCAAAUGCUUUGUUAGAACCUGUAUUUAACAUUCUCUUUACGAACGAAAAAUGUUCUUUUAUCUCAUAAGAAAAUAAACCUUAAAUUGUUUUAGAAAAAAAACGAAACAAAAUGAUACAAACACUUUGUUAGAAUCAGUAUUUUCUAUUAUUCUGAAUGUUAUGGUAUCCAUAAAAUUUACUUAUGACUUGUUGUUACAUGGAUCUAUAUUUCAUUUAAAUGUUGUUUAAAUAUAAAUUUUUAUUGUCUGUAUUUGGAUCACACCUCUAUUGUGCUCUUUCCAAUAAAUAUUGAAUUGAA